RNAcentral lists this ribosomal RNA (253 nucleotides) under uncultured bacterium. RNAcentral's name for it is "partial 16S ribosomal RNA". It matches the Rfam family "Bacterial small subunit ribosomal RNA", at positions 524 to 776 of the family's 1533-position model. The record is from RNAcentral.
UACAGAGGGGGCAAGCGUUGUUCGGAAUUACUGGGCGUAAAGGGCGCGUAGGCGGCUCGUCGCGUCGACCGUGAAAACCCGCAGCUUAACUGCGGGCUUGCGGUUGAUACGGGCGGGCUAGAGUUCGGUAGGGGAGACUGGAAUUCCUGGUGUAGCGGUGAAAUGCGCAGAUAUCAGGAGGAACACCGGUGGCGAAGGCGGGUCUCUGGGCCGAUACUGACGCUGAGGAGCGAAAGCGUGGGGAGCGAACAGG